ACUCACAGCGGGUAAGAUAUAUCCGAUAUUCGUAUCGACUACGAUUUUUUUGAGCUAGUUUCACAAUACUAAUGUGUGCAUUUAUGGCAUUCCUGAUAAUUUCAUCAUCAAUCUUCUCAAACAGCUCCUUCCGUAUUGGGCUCUGAACAAAUGUCUCAAAGAUGCGGUCUGGAUCACUAUCAGUCUUUAUGUACCCCUCUCGUUUUAGAUAUUUCUUGAAAUCAAUAUAUUGGUCUGCUUUUUCUAUUGCUUCAACAAAGGCAAUAACAAGCUUUUCUGACGUCCACUUAGUAGCCGUA
RNAcentral lists this unclassified non-coding RNA (299 nucleotides) under Hevea brasiliensis (rubber tree). The record is from RNAcentral. Lineage: Eukaryota; Viridiplantae; Streptophyta; Magnoliopsida; Malpighiales; Euphorbiaceae.